AAAGGAGGGGCAAUACCGAAUAUUGUCCGGAACCGUGAAGGGUUUCGGGGAAAGGGAGGCCUCUGACACAAGCUUUCGCCUUAAGAUGAGCCCAUGGCCCAUCAGCUAGUUGGUAGGGUAAAGGCCUACCAAGGCUACGACGGGUCGCUGGUCUGAGAGGACGACCAGCCACACUGGCACUGAGAUACGGGCCAGACUCCUACGGGAGGCAGCAGUGAGGAAUAUUGCGCAAUGGGGGAAACCCUGACGCAGCAACGCCGCGUGUGGGAAGAAGGCCUUCGGGUCGUAAACCACUUUUACUCGGGACGAAAAAGGGAUAUCAAACAAAUAUCCCCGAUGACGGUACCGUGAGAAUAAGCCACGGCUAACUCUGUGCCAGCAGCCGCGGUAAGACAGAGGUGGCAAGCGUUGUUCGGAAUUACUGGGCGUAAAGAGUCUGUAGGUGGUUUGUCAAGUCUUUGGUGAAAGGCCGUAGCUUAACUAUGGGAAUGCCAAAGAGACUGGCAGGCUGGAGGCUGGGAGAGGGAAGCGGAAUUUCUGGUGUAGCGGUGAAAUGCGUAGAUAUCAGAAGGAAGGCCGGUGGCGAAGGCGGCUUCCUGGAACAGUCCUGACACUGAGAGACGAAAGCGUGGGGAGCAACAGGAUUAGAUACCCUGGUAGUCCACGCCCUAAACGAUGGGUACUAAGUGUGGAGGGGUUAACCCUCCGUGCCGCAGCAACGCAGUAAGUACCCGCCUGGGGAGUACGGCCGCAAGGUUGAACUCAAAGGAAUUGACGG
RNAcentral lists this ribosomal RNA (778 nucleotides) under uncultured bacterium. RNAcentral's name for it is "bacterial SSU rRNA". It matches the Rfam family "Bacterial small subunit ribosomal RNA", at positions 154 to 916 of the family's 1533-position model. The record is from RNAcentral.